ACGUGAGUAACCUGCCCCUGACUCUGGGAUAAGCCUUGGAAACGAGGUCUAAUACCGGAUACGUGACGUACAGGCAUCUGAUGCGUCUGGAAAGAUUUAUCGGUCAGGGAUGGACUCGCGGCCUAUCAGCUUGUUGGUGGGGUAACGGCCUACCAAGGCGACGACGGGUAGCCGGCCUGAGAGGGCGACCGGCCACACUGGGACUGAGACACGGCCCAGACUCCUACGGGAGGCAGCAGUGGGGAAUAUUGCACAAUGGGCGCAAGCCUGAUGCAGCGACGCCGCGUGAGGGAUGAAGGCCUUCGGGUUGUAAACCUCUUUCAGCAGGGAAGAAGCGCAAGUGACNNUACCUGCAGAAGAAGCGCCNGCUAACUACGUGCCAGCAGCCGCGGUAAUACGUAGGGCGCAAGCGUUGUCCGGAAUUAUUGGGCGUAAAGAGCUCGUAGGCGGUCUGUCGCGUCUGCUGUGAAAACUCGAGGCUCAACCUCGGGCUUGCAGUGGGUACGGGCAGACUAGAGUGCGGUAGGGGAGACUGGAAUUCCUGGUGUAGCGGUGGAAUGCGCAGAUAUCAGGAGGAACACCGAUGGCGAAGGCAGGUCUCUGGGCCGCAACUGACGCUGAGGAGCGAAAGCAUGGGGAGCGAACAGGAUUAGAUACCCUGGUAGUCCAUGCCGUAAACGUUGGGCACUAGGUGUGGGGCUCAUUCCACGAGUUCCGUGCCGCAGCAAACGCAUUAAGUGCCCCGCCUGGGGAGUACGGCCGCAAGGCUAAAACUCAAAGAAAUUGNCGGGGGCCCGCACAAGCGGCGGAGCAUGCGGAUUAAUUCGAUGCAACGCGAAGAACCUUACCAAGGCUUGACAUACACCGGAAACUUCCAG
Molecule: ribosomal RNA, 878 nt
Filed under: Cellulomonas sp. BB20
Lineage: Bacteria; Bacillati; Actinomycetota; Actinomycetes; Micrococcales; Cellulomonadaceae
Description: bacterial SSU rRNA
Rfam family: Bacterial small subunit ribosomal RNA
Source: RNAcentral